UACGUAGGCAGCGAGCGUUGUUCGGAGUUACUGGGCGUAAAGGGUGUGUAGGCGGUCUUCUAAGUCUGGUGUGAAAUCUCCCGGCUCAACUGGGAGGGUGCGCCGGAAACUGGGAGGCUAGAGUGCGGGAUGGGAGAGUGGAAUUCCUGGUGUAGCGGUGAAAUGCGUAGAUAUCAGGAGGAACACCGGUGGUGUAGACGGCUCUCUGGACCGCAACUGACGCUGAGACACGAAAGCGUGGGUAGCAAACAGG
RNAcentral lists this ribosomal RNA (253 nucleotides) under uncultured bacterium. RNAcentral's name for it is "partial 16S ribosomal RNA". It matches the Rfam family "Bacterial small subunit ribosomal RNA", at positions 524 to 776 of the family's 1533-position model. The record is from RNAcentral.